GUGGCUGUAAGUGGUGAGAAUUUCACGUUGUGGCCGUGAAGACCUGGGCUCAAAUCCCAGCAGCCACA
This 68-nucleotide transfer RNA is filed under the name Morus notabilis. It matches the Rfam family "tRNA". From Rfam's summary of the family: Transfer RNA (tRNA) molecules are approximately 80 nucleotides in length. Their secondary structure includes four short double-helical elements and three loops (D, anti-codon, and T loops). The record is from Rfam by way of RNAcentral. Lineage: Eukaryota; Viridiplantae; Streptophyta; Magnoliopsida; Rosales; Moraceae.